RNAcentral lists this ribosomal RNA (457 nucleotides) under uncultured bacterium. RNAcentral describes it as "bacterial SSU rRNA". It matches the Rfam family "Bacterial small subunit ribosomal RNA", at positions 339 to 793 of the family's 1533-position model. The record is from RNAcentral.
UUACGGGAGGCAGCAGUGAGGAAUAUUGGACAAUGGGCGCAAGCCUGAUCCAGCCAUGCCGCGUGCAGGAAGACGGUCCUAUGGACUGUAAACUGCUUUUGUACGGGAAGAAACACCCCCUCGUGAGGGGAUUUGACGGUACCGUAAGAAUAAGGAUCGGCUAACUCCGUGCCAGCAGCCGCGGUAAUACGGAGGAUCCAAGCGUUAUCCGGAAUCAUUGGGUUUAAAGGGUCCGUAGGCGGUUUAAUAAGUCAGUGGUGAAAUCUGGUCGCUCAACGAUCAAACGGCCAUUGAUACUGUUAGACUUGAAUUACAAGGAAGUAACUAGAAUAUGUAGUGUAGCGGUGAAAUGCUUAGAUAUUACAUGGAAUACCAAUUGCGAAGGCAGGUUACUACUUGUGGAUUGACGCUGAUGGACGAAAGCGUGGGGAGCGAACAGGAUUAGAUACCCGUGUAC